AGGUAUUUAAGAAGAGAGUUACGGAGAUGAAAAGUUUCUAUAAAUGUUGAUUGUCCAUUUUGACCUACUUGAAUUUUCUCUAAGCCCAUAUGACUUCAAACCUUAGUUUUCCCUCCCAGCUCCAACCCCUUUAACGUCUCAGUGAUGAACUUCCUUACUCCCUACUCCUUCCCUUCUUUGGUUCCUCUGCAUUCAGCAUGGUGGGUCUUCUUCAUCACUCACUGGGCAUCAGCAAGUGUAUCACUGAAGGCCUAAAGCAAGGUAAUCUUAAUUGUGGAUGGCGCAGUGCAAUAACACAACCUAAUAACACAAACUAGCACAUUCAUUUCAUUAUAAAUAUUGCAGUUUGUGCAUUCCCAAGGCAGGACAUCUUCACUGAAUUAAAGCUAAAAUGUAGUUUUGCAGUAGCAACAUUAUUUCUAUUUUACGGCUUGCAGUUGGAUGAUUCCCAAGAUGGUCUUUAGCUAAAGUUGUAAUUAAGGCAUUAAGAUAUCUGAGAACAGCAGUGAUACAUGCCUGUGACUUGGAAAAGACGUUUAAACUUUUGCUUUCUUUGCAUAUCACUUAGCAAUUGAACUGUUUAUAAAGGAUUGCAGCACAACAAAGUUCAUCAGUAAGACAACUGAUUCCCUCUUAUACAACACUUGCUACAGUCGUAAGGGCACAAAUGCAGUGCCCAACUACCACGAGUGAUGUGACAGACUGGGGGAGAUCACACUUUUCAGCAUGACUGGAGCGAAAGAGUUGUGCCACACCCUGCAGAAAAAAGUCCCAUUUCUGCUCAUGGUGUCUCCUCUUGGUGCAUGUGCUGGUGACUACUUCUGUUACUAUGCGGGCCAGGAAUGAAGUGGCCUUGACCCAUCCAAGAGCACUCUUUUCCAAGACCUCUCAGAAGAAUAAGCAAAAGGUGUGCGAGUGGCAGUGCUUACAUGCUCAUUCUGACGUUGUAAAAAAGAAACAAACAUUAAGUGAUGCAGUGUAACCUUUUGCAUUGCACAGGCAAUCACAUUUCAUCUGAUGCUGGUGCCCCUGUUCCAAACUCAGUGACUUGGGCUUGACUAAAGGAUCCACUUUUGAUCAAACUGUUGCAAGAGACAGUGAAUUCACCCAUGCUAAAGAAUACUCACCUGAUAACAUUAAAAUAAUUAUCCUCACUAUUUUUAUCUUCAAGGCACAACCAGAAGAUUUUUAAUCUAAAUUCAUAGAGCUUUAACUCCAAGCAUUUUUGUUGUAUCUUUCUCAUGCUGGGAUAAUGACAUUUGAUACUGAUGUUUUGUCUCUCUAAUGGUCCUAUUACUUUUCCUAACCUGAGCAUUUAAAACUUCUUAGUCUUCAUGGUCCUUUGUUUGGAAAGUUGUAAUGGAGCCAUAUAUUUCCUUAUGUGUGUUCCUUGAAAAUAAGUGCAACAGCAUCAAAUGUCAAACACCUACACCUGAGAGGAAUUAAACAAAUUUCUUUACUCUCAGCCUCUGGGUAGAGUGCUUUAAAUUGAGUUGCAGCUUUAAACCAAGUCAAGGCUGCCUAAGUACGCUUGUGGUUUUAUCUGAAGCUUAUGUGAUACUCCCUGUAUGCUUCUCUCACCCCUGCUGCUCUUUUAAACAAUCCGAGUCGUGUACGUUUGUAUGGUUAGUAGCUUUUGUGGGAGUUUCAUAAGAGACAAGCUGCUUUUUCCCACUUCUCCGGAUAUUGGAUUAUGAAAUUUCAGCAUUGCAAUAAUGACCUGGGUGUGUUGGAUUGCAUUCACCCUUAAUGUUUUUUAGCUGAAUGAAUUCAAUUUCUGUAGUCUGUACAUGUAAAGAAUGUUUCUGCAUUCUUACUCUCAUUUUGGUGUACUGGAGUCUUCUCCAGAGUCCUCAGUGUCCUUUUCACCAUGUGAAGCAAUCCAUGGCUGGUGCCGUCCGCAGGUAUUGAGUAACAUUCGUUCUCUACACCUCUGAAAAUCAUGAGAUCUUGUUAGAUGUUACCCCUGUUCUCCUGUACUG
Molecule: long non-coding RNA, 1982 nt
Organism: Anser brachyrhynchus (Pink-footed goose)
Lineage: Eukaryota; Metazoa; Chordata; Aves; Anseriformes; Anatidae
Source: Ensembl